Molecule: long non-coding RNA, 1075 nt
Organism: Cebus imitator (Panamanian white-faced capuchin)
Lineage: Eukaryota; Metazoa; Chordata; Mammalia; Primates; Cebidae
Exons: 3
Source: RefSeq, a predicted model, not a curated record
AGAGUAAUGCAUCACUCCUUAGCCUCACCUAAGGAGGUUGUAGAGAUGAGGCCAAGGCAGGAAACCAGAAGAGUCCCUGAUUCACCAGUUAUUUGUUGACUCCUUACAAACAUGUCAUUCAAGUGGCUAAUCUUACACCAGCACCAGAUUUGUCCUGAAACCAACAGAUCCAGAUCUCUCCUACCAAAUACCAUGAAAUUUAAAGAAACAAAACUUACAAAAUAAAGCAGCAGCAACAACAACAAUGAAAUCUUAAAAGAGUAAAUAUAAGUAUCAAGCAUCAACCCCCCUCUCCAAAUAAUAUCUCUCUUCUUCAAUAAGGUUCCCAGAAAAAUCCCUUCAAAACCUGGUGGUCUGAUACCCUGUGCUACGUAACUUGUGACCCAUCCAUUUGUCAUGUUCUUCGGGAAUGUGGCUGAGGGGCUGAGAUGUGACUUGAAAACAAAGGUAGAGCGAGAUAAUCUCAAAUUGAUUAUCAAGGAGUAGUUCAGACAAUUAGUUCAGACCACAGAGAUAGCAGAACAGGUGGUCUGGCAUGGAUAGAGCAUCAGACAUUCACAGACUGUGCCAACAAGAGCCAUCUACUCAAAACAGCCAAAAGAAGAAGGGUCAUGGAAUGGGUUCUCACAUGAAACUGAUGCCCAGAAGCCCUCGGCAUGAAUAACAAAGGCAACCAGACCCACAAGCCAUACUGAGUUGAUACAAAACUGAUACCUGGGCUGACAUCCCAAACGUGGCAAGUUAGAUGAUGAUGGCACAAAAGACAGAACACCUUGCUUCUGGUCAUUGUCAGCUCUGGGAAGAGAGGAGACUUUUAGAGGAGCAGCUGCAAGGAGCCUGAGAACAAAACUGGAAAUGCCUGUUGUGAAAGCCUUCACAGCUAUUAUUAACAAAAGAAAAUGUGUAUUUGUCAAUGGUGUGCUAGCUAGGUUUUGUCAGUCCAUUCUUAUGCCCAGGAAUGACCUCUUGUGUCGACCGGAUACAGUCAUCAAUGCAACUGUCCAGGUGCAACUGUUCUAUAAAGGGGAAGAGGAGUGGCUUUCCCCUGUAAAGUGGCCCUGUCAAAAUUCUAUAA